This is a non-coding RNA of Aegilops tauschii subsp. strangulata, 4053 nucleotides long. Lineage: Eukaryota; Viridiplantae; Streptophyta; Magnoliopsida; Poales; Poaceae. The record is from RefSeq and is a predicted model, not a curated record.
UUUAGUCCUGGUUCAAAAACCGGGACUAAAGGGCCUUACCAACCGGGACUAAAGCCCCUUUUUCUACUAGUGACAGAAUCGUAGAUCCAUAUAGUGUGUUGGGACAUCUCUAGCAAGCUGGACGUCGUGGCACGCUAGUAUCCUCACAGCCAUGUUAAAACAACCAGCAUCCAUGUACUCAUCAUUCUUUAAUAUGUUCUUUAAUUGUCUCAAGUUCAAACUAAUAGGAUAAGGUUGAGAGCUUUUCACCCAUUCGCUCCUGUGAAAUGGGAAUUCUAUCAAUUAUAAUUAUACAAGAGUAAUAAUUUAUUAUAAACAAAAAUGAAUUGGAAAAAUGUGUCUUACUCUAGCAAAGGGAUAUCAUCAACCAUGAUGAUGAACAAGCAAAGUUCAUCCAUUAAGUCGUCGUUUGUUGGAGUGACAAACGGCGGAAGGAUAAAUGAUUGCGAGAUGAGCUCAACUUGUGAUGAUGAGUUGGAUGCUUUGGGUUUGUUAGGAGGUCUUUCGAUGAUCAUACAAUCGGUGGGAUCCGUGUUGGUUUCAUCAUCAUCCAAGUCUUGGUUUCUUAUAUCAUCAUCAUUGAAUUCAGAGUCGACUAAAAUGACAGCUAAUUUUGUUUUAAAAUCUGUCAUAUGAACCUAAAGUGAAGUAGUAACAAGACUUAAUUUUCAAAUAAUGAUACAACACAAAAUAAUUAGUAUCAUGAUACGAUGCAAAAUAUACCUGUUCGGGAGUGUCAGACAGACUAUCUCCCGUGAAGUACUCCAUGAAAUUUAACAUCCACAGACCACAAGAUGACCUGGAUGAUUACAAAAAUUAGAUAUGAUUAAUAACAAAAAUAUUAUAUUAAUAAAAAAAUAUUAGUAUUAUAAAAUGAUGUUGACCGAAUCACAAGUCAUAGCAGACACGCUCGAUUAAAAAGGAAUUGAACAACGUUUGCCGCUAAUUUAAAUCAAAUGACCAAAAGGACUAUCAAUAAAAUAAUUGAAUUUGUCAAUGCAUAUUUUUUUAUUAUAAAUCAAUUGAACAAAAAGGCUAUGAAUAAAAAUUGAAUUUGUCAACGCAGAAUUUCUUUGAGAGGAACUCAUAUAAUUAUUACUUCACCAAAUGGGUUGUGGAUCAUAAAUAUUAAAAAUAAAACAAAAGGCACACGGCCGAUGAUCCAUUUGAUCGAUGAUAUGUUUAAUCUGAACGACAUAAUUAGGCCACACAAAAGAAACCAGAGGUUGGAUUGCAAAAGAAAAGAGAGCAACCAGAGGUACACUAAUAAGGAGCUGCCACAAAUGAGGAGCAGCCGGUGAAAAGAAAAAGAGGGCAGCCGGUGCUAAGUAUCUCAGUCUCUCACCACACACUAAUGAGGAGCAGUCGCUUUCUCACAACAGGAUGUGUGUGUGUGUGGUGAGACGGUGAGAGACAGUCACUUUGCUUUCUCCGCCGCACGCCGCCGGCCGCCUUCUUUGGAGCAGGGCGCACGCCGCCGGCCGCCUUCUCUGGAGCAGGGCGCAUCCUCUCCGGCCACGACGUCUUCUGGCGCCCCCUCCCCGCACCACCACCACCACCACGGCCUCGCCCCGUCUCCUAUCCCCAUGACGGCCUUGCCUCGCCGGCUCUUAUCCCCACCACGGCCUCGCCCCGCCGCCUCCUCUCACCACCGCGGACUUGCCUCGCCGCCAACCCCAUGGAUCUUCCCUACAUCGACUCUGCCGCCACCAUCAUACAGCCGCAGAGCAGAUCGAGAUGCGAGCUGCUGGACACGAUGCAUGCAGGAGUAGGCAUCUUGAAUUGGACCGAGAUCCAGUGCGUCGACCUCACACAGUCGCUCCGGGAAGGAGUUCGCAGCCUACACUCGGUUGCUGAAGGCACCUUCGCCACAUUGUCAUCCAUUUGUGAGAUGUUUCUGUUUCUCCAUGUUGGCAUGGAUGCAUUGGAUAUAGAGUAGUGGAAGAUUGUUAGCGGAACACAUAUACAGCAUGGACAGUAGUACCGGAUCUGGAUGGAGAUUGACUCGCAUGUGGCACCGGUGACGGAGGCGCAGACAUGGAUGAAGACGGUGCUUCACCAAGGGCAGAUGUGUGCGGCUCAGUGGAGAGACUUGUUGUGGAGGUAUGUUGGGAUGCGGCUGAGAGAUCACGAGGGAGGAUGGAGGAGAGGUGAAAGUAAUGGUAUCAGGCAAUAUAAGGCAGAAUCGUGAGAGAAAGGAAACUACUAUCGCGAUAAUUGGGGACUCCUGAUUGCUAUCAUCCCCGGAUUUAUCUGAGGCCCCAGAAUCUUAUCUUGUGCUUUUUUAUACUCACACAAAAUAUUGGAGUUAUUUUCGUGGUACAAUUUAUAUGCAUAAAUAGUGGGUUUGGCCCACCUUCCUUCUGUAACUGUGGGCUUAAUUCAGAAAAGGCACACCCUUUUAAUAUUUGAGAAACUAAUUUUUUCUGUUUGAUUUGAAAUUCAGCUGAUGUAUGGUGGUUGCCUUCUUGUACAUGAGCUUACGACUGCGGGAGAUCAUGACUUGUUCUUUUGAUUUUUUUGGUUCAUCACAUGAUCCAUCAAGCCAGCCAAGGCGGAGAUCAGUGAAGAGGUGAAGUAGAAAAUGGAAUCGGAAUAGGAGGCAUAUCUUCAACUGGUUUGAUGCAUGUUGGAAGAGGCUUGAAGUGGCGGUCGUAACACAGUCAGUUGGGACGACUCAUUGGCAGAGUUGAUAUUAUUAACAUUUUCAUUGUUAGAGACGACAGUAUCUGGUGUUGUUAGUGAACAUGGACCAUGAAGUGGAGUCUGAUCACUCAUUACCACAUCAACAGGUCCUGAAAGGGAUUACGUACCCCACUACGCUGAGAUCCGGGCAUAUUGUCUUCUCAAUGAACACUUACUGACCCGUGCCUCAACUCAGUUUGCUAUGCAAAUCAUGAUGUACUGUACGGAAGUAGUCAGAUGUCUUGGAGAUCUGCUCGCCACCGGGGUGAUGACACCGGAUGUAAGGCAGCGCGCCGGGUCGAGGACGUCGCAGACACCGGGGAGAGGGCGGCGUGGCGACGACGGCGUAUUGAGGAGAGUUAGGGCUGCAAGGCGGGUCGAGGGCGUCGUGUCGUCGCGGAGAACAGGGGCAAGGGUCGCGUGGCGAGGGCGGCCGGGCGGGGCGGAGCGAGGACGGCGGGGCGGCGUGCCGACGCGAGGUUCGUGGCGUGGUGGUGGCGUUGAUCGCGGAGAUAAUGUUUAUUCGCUGGAUGGAGGUGUCAUCGUUAGGAUGUGUAGGAGCCUGGACGUGGGAGUCUGCCGGCAGAACAUUUGAUUAGAACCGUUGAUCUGGUUGUAGUAUGUUUGAUAAAACGUGGACAGUUGCAUGAUAGUAAGUGGGUCUGAUCGGACGUCUAGGGUUAUCCUGUGUGCACUUUGUCGUGUGGAUGUAGGGGAAGUCACAUUUGGUCUUUUAAUAGUAGUAUAGAUAUAGAUAUAGAUAUAGAAGUAUAGAUAUAGAUAGUCGCCGCGCCCCAUUCCCCAUUGCUUCCCCAUCGCCGGUGAACCAGCCGCGGCGGGCGCCUGACGUUUGAGUACUGCGAGCUGCGCAGCGCGGCCGUGCAACCCUGCUUCCUCAGCGUUGGAGUUAGUGCUGCCACAGCCAGCGAUGAGCUUUUGGUGCUGCAAUCAGUUGCGCCCUUCGACGAUGGAGUUGUAUCUGUGCACGCCGGAGCUGCCACCGGCGUUUUUGGGAGCUGCAAGGUCAACGACGACGAGCAAGGGCGGCGGCACCGUGCUAUCAUGGGCGGUGACCUCGUGUCUCUCCGGCGCAAGCACAACAGGCUACCUGAUUAGUCUAAGUCACUGGCUAGCUAGUUUGUUGCUUUGGCAAUUGUACGUAGAUUCAUGCAAGCAGAAACGCAUCGGUCUAGGGGCGUGUUUGGUUGCCUGGGUGGCUUUCAGCUGCAUUGCAUGGAGGAUCCAGGCUGAGCAUGGCCAGGCUAAGGCGAUGCAAAGUUGCGUCGUGAUGUAUGUUUGGUGAACUUCCAUCAUAUGGCUGCAUGCGGUGCUGUUUUUGUCUGAAUGUCACUGAAAUUGAUGUGGAAA